Molecule: ribosomal RNA, 492 nt
Filed under: uncultured bacterium
Lineage: Bacteria
Description: partial 16S ribosomal RNA
Rfam family: Bacterial small subunit ribosomal RNA
Source: RNAcentral
AGUGAACGCUGGCGGUAGGCCUAACACAUGCAAGUCGAACGGCAGCACAGUAAGAGCUUGCUCUUACGGGUGGCGAGUGGCGGACGGGUGAGGAAUACAUCGGAAUCUACUUUUUCGUGGGGGAUAACGUAGGGAAACUUACGCUAAUACCGCAUACGACCUACGGGUGAAAGCAGGGGAUCUUCGGACCUUGCGCGAUUGAAUGAGCCGAUGUCGGAUUAGCUAGUUGGCGGGGUAAAGGCCCACCAAGGCGACGAUCCGUAGCUGGUCUGAGAGGAUGAACAGGCAAACUGGAACCGGGACAAGGUCCCAGAUCCCAAGGGAGGCAAGAGUGGGGAAUAUUGGACAAUGGGCGCAAGCCUGAUCCAGCCAUACCGCGUGGGUGAAGAAGGCCUUCGGGUUGUAAAGCCCUUUUGUUGGGAAAGAAAAGCAGCAGGUUAAUACCCCGCUGUUCUGACGGUACCCAAAGAAUAAGCACCGGCUAACUUCGUG